Sardina pilchardus (European sardine) is the source of this 825-nucleotide long non-coding RNA. RefSeq lists it as uncharacterized. NCBI's taxonomy places the organism in Eukaryota, Metazoa, Chordata, Actinopteri, Clupeiformes, Clupeidae. The record is from RefSeq and is a predicted model, not a curated record. The transcript has 4 exons.
AGACAAAAUGAUCCGCACACGAGAAGAGAGGAGAAAAUACUUGCAAACUCAUUCAACUAUGGAGGCCCUUGAAGAAUAUCCUGGGCUAAGAUUCCCAGUUAUACUCCUCACAGAAUCACAAAGCCAGCUAGAUGUUGACAUAGACCGCAGCAUCAUGACAGGAAUGGGUCAAAUCGCAAAGAUGGUCAUAGAGGAAUGUCAGCGGCGAGCUACUGGACAGGACCUCUUUUGCAUGUAUGAGGAGGCCAAAUCAAUGCAACAUGAGGAGUGUCACAGAGGUCUGCAAGUCAUCCUGGGCACCUUGCUCCUUCCAUACCUGUUCAGAGAGAACCCCAAAGCACUUUAUGUGAUCAAUAGAAAGGAUCCAGAGGUUCCAACGCCGGUACUGGUCAUUACAGGGAACCCCUUCAUGGAGGCUUCUUUUGCUGUUCAACUCGACUUUCAGGAUGUCCUUACCCAAGAAGUUGAUGAGGUCACCCAGGCUUUGGCCACCCUAAUGUCUAUUUAUUUUGUUUUUAAUAUUGAAUACCAUAAGAGUGUAAAAAACACCCUCUGUUUCAUACAAAAAUACCUAAUGUCAAACACACCAGAGGGAAAGAUCAGCCCCACUGUAAUUAAAAUGGCCAAUUAUUUAUUUUCUUAAUUUGUUUUGUAUUGGUCGAAAUAUAUAUAUCUUUGAGGAUAUAAUGCAAAAAAAAAAGUACCAGUGACAGAAAAAUGUCUCACACACACACACUCAGAGUUUGACUCUUUGCUCUGCUGUCUCCUUUAGGUAGUAGGUAGUGUUUAUUAUUAAUUAUUUAUUUAUUUUUGUUUGUUUAUUUU